RNAcentral lists this long non-coding RNA (556 nucleotides) under Phoenix dactylifera (date palm). Its description in RNAcentral is "long non-coding RNA (PDAC_LNC008659)". Lineage: Eukaryota; Viridiplantae; Streptophyta; Magnoliopsida; Arecales; Arecaceae. The record is from RNAcentral.
CCUCUACAACCCUUAUCUGACCCCUCUAGACUAUAUCCACCCUUUGUAUAGCCUAAUGUCAUCAAAAGACUAGAUAGGGAUGGAUAUUUACCUUUUUCUUUUUGGAAAUCGAGGUCCUUGCGUAGAGGGGAAGGAGAUCUACGUUUUUUCCUUCAGCUGGAAGUGCAACCGGGAUCCCUUUCCUCCUUGAAUCCCCUUCCUCUUCUUCUUUCUUCUUCUUCUUCUUCUCUUUUUCUUUCUUUCUUUCCUCUGUUUCACGCCUGAGAACCCCCUCCCUCUUUGUCUCUCGGUUUCAUUCCAAAGCCACAGCAAACCCUCCAAUUAAAUCACAUCAAGACACUAUUCACCCUUUGUUUAAUAUUAUUAAAUUCUCAUUUUGCCCCUAACACUUCAACAUAUCUACCGUUAUGCCAUUAACUUUUGAUUCCUUCCAAUUUUACCCUUACCACUUCAAUGCAUCUACAACUAUGCCAUUAUCUUUUGAUUCUUUCCUAUUUUACCCCUUAUAUUAAUUGAAAAGGACUAUUCUAUCCCUUUUUAUAUAUAAAAAAAAUUU